Molecule: ribosomal RNA, 497 nt
Filed under: uncultured bacterium
Lineage: Bacteria
Description: partial 16S ribosomal RNA
Rfam family: Bacterial small subunit ribosomal RNA
Source: RNAcentral
GACGAACGCUGGCGGCGUGCCUAAUACAUGCAAGUUGAGCGCUGAAGGUUGGUACUUGUACCGACUGGAUGAGCAGCGAACGGGUGAGUAACGCGUGGGGAAUCUGCCUUUGAGCGGGGGACAACAUUUGGAAACGAAUGCUAAUACCGCAUAAAAACUUUAAACACAAGUUUUAAGUUUGAAAGAUGCAAUUGCAUCACUCAAAGAUGAUCCCGCGUUGUAUUAGCUAGUUGGUGAGGUAAAGGCUCACCAAGGCGAUGAUACAUAGCCGACCUGAGAGGGUGAUCGGCCACAUUGGGACUGAGACACGGCCCAACCUCCUACGGGAGGCAGCAGUAGGGAAUCUUCGGCAAUAGACGAAAGUCUGACCGAGCAACGCCGCGUGAGUGAAGAAGGUUUUCGGAUCGUAAAACUCUGUUGGUAGAGAAGAACGUUGGUGAGAGUGGAAAGCUCAUCAAGUGACGGUAACUACCCAGAAAGGGACGGCUAACUACGUG